AGGGAGAGAUAUCAUUACAACACAGAGGCUUCCUUUUUUGCUCUGGUACCUUUACAUGUGGUGUCAGGGUUUAAACCUUAGUCAGUGCAAAUGGUAAAGUAGGUAUCCCACCUGAUGAGCUAUUCAUUAGAGAUCUUUUAAUUGAUUUUUUUUUUUUAAAGUACUUGUGGUUAAGCCCUGAUGAAGUUAACAAAUACAGUGGGGAGGGGCUUGAAUAAGUAGAUGUAAUAAAGACUUAUACAUGUCAUAAUGUAGACUAAAUAAACAGAAAGUACAUGGGGGUUAGUUACACAGAGUCGACUUCCCACAAAUCUAAGACCCAGGCAUGUGAGGUCCUGCUCACCCACAGAUUUACAAGAAUUCUAAUUCUAAACACAUUGCCAUUUAUGUAGGUCUAUCUUCUGAGAUUUAGUUCUGAGUUGCCCUGCCAUGAAGAUUCACUACCUUUCUCUAGCUCUACUCUUCUUUGGUCCUUUAUUAACAACUAUAGGAAGUGAAGAUACUCAGUUGAUCACUAGCUACUUGGACUGCACAGAUAAGAACAUAUGCAAUUCUUCAGAUGAAAAUGGGAAUUGCACUCAAUAUAACAAGGUUGGAGUCUGUGUCUUGCAUAUUGGAAAAAUUGCAAGUCAACUGAAAGACAUAAAAACUCAGGAAGGAUGAUAAACAUGCUUGUCUUAUUAAAAAGUAAAAGCUG
Molecule: long non-coding RNA, 697 nt
Organism: Erinaceus europaeus (western European hedgehog)
Lineage: Eukaryota; Metazoa; Chordata; Mammalia; Eulipotyphla; Erinaceidae
Exons: 2
Source: RefSeq, a predicted model, not a curated record